Molecule: ribosomal RNA, 991 nt
Filed under: human gut metagenome
Description: bacterial LSU rRNA
Rfam family: Bacterial large subunit ribosomal RNA
Source: RNAcentral
AACUAUAACCAUCCUAAGGUAGCGAAAUUCCUUGUCGGGUAAGUUCCGACCUGCACGAAUGGCGUAACGACUUCCCCACUGUCUCGACCAGGAGCUCGGCGAAAUUGCAGUACGAGUAAAGAUGCUCGUUAAGCGCAGAAGGACGAAAAGACCCCGGGACCUUUACUAUACCUUGGUAUUGGCAUUCGGUGUGGAUUGUGUAGCAUAGGCGGAAGGCUUCGAAGCCACGGCGCCAGCCGCGGUGGAGCCGCAAGGUGAAAUACCGCUCUGUUCGCAUUGGAUGUCUAACCUCGACCAGUCAUCCUGGUCAGGGACAGUGCCUGGCGGGUAGUUUAACUGGGGCGGUUGCCUCCCAAAGAGUAACGGAGGCGCUCAAAGGUUCCCUCAGCCCGGUUGGCAAUCGGGUGGCGAGUGUAAGUGCACAAGGGAGCUUGACUGCGAGACUGACGGGUCGAGCAGGGACGAAAGUCGGAACUAGUGAUCCGGUGCCGGUGUACGGACGCGGCAUCGCUCAACGGAUAAAAGGUACCCCGGGGAUAACAGGCUGAUCAUUCCCAAGAGUCCAUAUCGACGGGAUGGUUUGGCACCUCGAUGUCGGCUCGUCGCAUCCUGGGGCUGGAGCAGGUCCCAAGGGUUCGGCUGUUCGCCGAUUAAAGCGGCACGCGAGCUGGGUUCAGAACGUCGUGAGACAGUUUGGUCUCUAUCCUCUGCGCUCGUCGGAAUGUUGAGGAGGCCUGCCCAUAGUACGAGAGGACCUGGGUGGACGAACCUCUGGUAUGCCGGUUGUCACGCCAGUGGCACGGCCGGUUGGCUACGUUCGGAAGGGAUAACCGCUGAAAGCAUCUAAGCGGGAAGCCUGCUCCAAGAUAAGCAUUCCAUAGGACUACGGGUCCUUGAAGUCCCCAUGCAGAACACGUGGUUGAUAGGCCGGACGUGGAAGCCCCGCGAGGGGUGGAGCCGACCGGUACUAACGGACGAAAGGCAACACAAC